GCGGGAUUAGUACACCGGUAGUAUGCGUCCUUCCCAAGGAUGAGAAGGGGGUUCAAUUCCCCUAUCCCGCUCCA
This 74-nucleotide transfer RNA is filed under the name Candidatus Chisholmbacteria bacterium RIFCSPHIGHO2_01_FULL_48_12. RNAcentral describes it as "tRNA-Gly". It matches the Rfam family "tRNA". From Rfam's summary of the family: Transfer RNA (tRNA) molecules are approximately 80 nucleotides in length. Their secondary structure includes four short double-helical elements and three loops (D, anti-codon, and T loops). Further hydrogen bonds mediate the characteristic L-shaped molecular structure. tRNAs have two regions of fundamental functional importance: the anti-codon, which is responsible for specific mRNA codon recognition, and the 3' end, to which the tRNAs corresponding amino acid is attached (by aminoacyl-tRNA synthetases). tRNAs cope with the degeneracy of the genetic code in two manners: having more than one tRNA (with a specific anti-codon) for a particular amino acid; and 'wobble' base-pairing, i.e. permitting non-standard base-pairing at the 3rd anti-codon position. The record is from RNAcentral. Lineage: Bacteria; Candidatus Chisholmiibacteriota.